This 71-nucleotide transfer RNA is filed under the name Trichechus manatus latirostris (Florida manatee). RNAcentral's name for it is "tRNA-Gly (TCC) (tRNA-Gly-TCC-30-1)". It matches the Rfam family "tRNA". From Rfam's summary of the family: Transfer RNA (tRNA) molecules are approximately 80 nucleotides in length. Their secondary structure includes four short double-helical elements and three loops (D, anti-codon, and T loops). Further hydrogen bonds mediate the characteristic L-shaped molecular structure. tRNAs have two regions of fundamental functional importance: the anti-codon, which is responsible for specific mRNA codon recognition, and the 3' end, to which the tRNAs corresponding amino acid is attached (by aminoacyl-tRNA synthetases). tRNAs cope with the degeneracy of the genetic code in two manners: having more than one tRNA (with a specific anti-codon) for a particular amino acid; and 'wobble' base-pairing, i.e. permitting non-standard base-pairing at the 3rd anti-codon position. The record is from Rfam by way of RNAcentral. Lineage: Eukaryota; Metazoa; Chordata; Mammalia; Sirenia; Trichechidae.
GCAGUGGUGGUUCAGUGGUAGAAUUCUUGCCUUCCAUGCGGGAGACCCAGGUUUGAUUCCUGGCCAAUGCA